GGAGGUGCGUUUCAGCUGGUGCUGGGCCCGGACUUCAAAUCCGGUGUGGGUGGGUAACGCCCGUCCAGGUGGGUUCGAUUCCCACACGCCUCCGCCA
This 97-nucleotide transfer RNA is filed under the name Cloacibacillus porcorum. RNAcentral's name for it is "tRNA-Sec". It matches the Rfam family "Selenocysteine transfer RNA". Lineage: Bacteria; Thermotogati; Synergistota; Synergistia; Synergistales; Synergistaceae. The record is from RNAcentral. RNAcentral also lists the same sequence under 1 other name.